UGAUGGGUAUGUAAAUUGUGCAAGUGAAGAACAGAGAAGAUUAAUACUGAAAUGAGAAUUAUAUUGAUGAAGGUAAGGAGUAAUACAGGAAUAGAAAAAGAUAGAUGGUGUAUUGUUAGAGAAAGCUCUAACAACCCAGAGAAGCUCUAAUGGCUCUCUUCCUAGAAAGAUUCCUCUUUCUCUCUCCUAUAACCGAAUUUGAUUCUCAUCCCUCCCUCUCACCCCACACCUCACUACUCUAUAUACUAACUUACUAACUAACUCCCUCCUCUCCAUUUUGCCUGAGACACCUCAGCACCUUUCCCUUUCUUUCUUUCAUAAACUUUCCACACCUUGGGCUUUCCUAAGCCCAUUUCCCCUUUUGUGUUCGAGUCUCUAUCAAUUCCCUCCCCCUUAGAAACAGCCUUGUCCUCAAGGCAGAAGUNNNNNNNNNNNNNNNNNNNNNNNNNNNNNNNNNNNNNNNNNNNNNNNNNNNNNNNNNNNNNNNNNNNNNNNNNNNNNNNNNNNNNNNNNNNNNNNNNNNNNNNNNNNNNNNNNNNNNNNNNNNNNNNNNNNNNNNNNNNNNNNNNNNNNNNNNNNNNNNNNNNNNNNNNNNNNNNNNNNNNNNNNNNNNNNNNNNNNNNNNNNNNNNNNNNNNNNNNNNNNNNNNNNNNNNNNNNNNNNNNNNNNNNNNNNNNNNNNNNNNNNNNNNNNNNNNNNNNNNNNNNNNNNNNNNNNNNNNNNNNNNNNNNNNNNNNNNNNNNNNNNNNNNNNNNNNNNNNNNNNNNNNNNNNNNNNNNNNNNNNNNNNNNNNNNNNNNNNNNNNNNNNNNNNNNNNNNNNNNNNNNNNNNNNNNNNNNNNNNNNNNNNNNNNNNNNNNNNNNNNNNNNNNNNNNNNNNNNNNNNNNNNNNNNNNNNNNNNNNNNNNNNNNNNNNNNNNNNNNNNNNNNNNNNNNNNNNNNNNNNNNNNNNNNNNNNNNNNNNNNNNNNNNNNNNNNNNNNNNNNNNNNNNNNNNNNNNNNNNNNNNNNNNNNNNNNNNNNNNNNNNNNNNNNNNNNNNNNNNNNNNNNNNNNNNNNNNNNNNNNNNNNNNNNNNNNNNNNNNNNNNNNNNNNNNNNNNNNNNNNNNNNNNNNNNNNNNNNNNNNNNNNNNNNNNNNNNNNNNNNNNNNNNNNNNNNNNNNNNNNNNNNNNNNNNNNNNNNNNNNNNNNNNNNNNNNNNNNNNNNNNNNNNNNNNNNNNNNNNNNNNNNNNNNNNNNNNNNNNNNNNNNNNNNNNNNNNNNNNNNNNNNNNNNNNNNNNNNNNNNNNNNNNNNNNNNNNNNNNNNNNNNNNNNNNNNNNNNNNNNNNNNNNNNNNNNNNNNNNNNNNNNNNNNNNNNNNNNNNNNNNNNNNNNNNNNNNNNNNNNNNNNNNNNNNNNNNNNNNNNNNNNNNNNNNNNNNNNNNNGAAUUCUUGAAUUUUCCUGAGGCGAAGAAGGCCUUAGGGGUGAAGGUGAAUGAAUCGUUUGUGUACGAGUUGUGCAGUGAUGUUGUUGGGGCUGUGUUACAUGCUGAUGUGAUGAAGAGUGUGAAAUACAUGGUGGAGGACUUGGUGAGGAAGAGCAGGGUGUUGUUGUAUCAGGGUCAGUAUGAUUUGAGGGAUGGUGUGGUCCAAACUGAGGCUUGGGUGAAGACAAUGAAAUGGGAGGGGAUUGAGCAGUUUCUUAAUGCGGAAAGGAAGAUUUGGAAGGUGAAUGGUGAGCUUGCUGGGUAUGUGCAAAAUUGGAAGUCUUUGACCAAUGCUGUGGUUUUGGGGGCUGGCCAUCUUUUGCCUACUGACCAGGCUGUGAAUUCUCAAGUAAUGAUUGAAGAUUGGGUUUUGGAAAGGGGUUCGUUUAAAAGUGUCGUCCAGCAGGAAAAAGUAUCAGGAAGUUCUAAACUUGCUGUGGAACUAUCUAAGAUUAACCGUUAGCAUGAUUGGAUCAGUUUCUCUUUCAUCACCAGAAUCAAUUCUGAAUUUCAGAAGCUACAGAAGCUUCUCUCUAGCUCGAAUCAAAUCAGCUGUAAAAGGAUUUCUACACACGCACGCAUUGUGAGUUGUAAAUGUUAUUAUUGAGCUGUAUUCUACUACAUUGAAUGAAUAAACAUGGAAAAAAUGUACUGUUAAGCAACGUUAAUCAAUUUGUAAUCUUGUAAGCAUGUUUAGUUUUUUAUGGAAUUACAUUAAAUUCUUAUGGCAGUUUCCUCCCAGCAGUGCAACUGAAAAGGAAGUCACUGUUGUACCAAAAUAGAUAUCCUCAAAAAAUAUAAAAAAACAGUUCUCAACAUUUUUUGAUUAAAUGACUAAAGGACAGUAUUAAUGAGCCUCAUAAUUAGCUUCCAGGUGUAGACGGAUCUACACCUUUUAAAGGGCUUAACCGCUUUACUUUAGGAAGAUGCAUGACAGUCCAGGUGUGAUUAGCUUCCAUAGCAUCAAGUUUCUCUUUCAUUGCAAGUCUCCAUUCAAGAAAUUGAGUAGCUUAGUGUUAGAAGUGGGACUCAUGUACUGCAGAUGUCUGGAAAAUAAAUUUCUAAUAAGCAGUGAAAUAUGGUAGUUCUGGUGGGUUUUCUGAUAAGUUAGGAACUGAGAUAGGUGCAGGGCCUGAAAUAGGGGGAUAAAACUGUAAGUGGGAAUGGCUCUGCUAUAUCAUGUGAAAGGGAAUGAAAAGGAAAGGGAAUUUCUCAUGAAAAAUCACAUCAUAAGAAAUGAAGAAUUUUCUGGUGGAUAAAUUAUAUAACAUGUAUUCUUUUAUAGCCAUUGGGAUAGCUAGCAAAGAUAGAAGAAAUAGCUUUUUUUCUAUAAACUUGUGUCUCUAUGAUGGGAGAGUAUAUGCAAAGGCCAAUCAUCCAAAACGAAUAUAAUAGUUGAUAAGGAAAUAAGACUGCAACUUAAGAUUGGUAGCUGGAACUCUAUUGAUAAAGAACACUGCAGUCUUCAAACAUCACCCCAAAAGGACUAGGGAACCUGAGACUGAAAAUAGAGAGAUCAAAUUGUUGAGACCUCUCAAUGCAGCUGAAUUAGAGCGUGCCUUUGGAUGUAAAAAAGUUCCAUAAGCAAGCUCUUUCUUAUUGUCUGAUAAUAACUGUUGGAUGGUCUUAUGAAAUUGAGAGUUUCAAUGAGACUGAAAAAUUGAUUAAUGAAGGUAGGGCCUGUGAUUUUUUGUGCAUCAAGUAAAUCCAAUUGAAGAGUAAGAGUAUUCACAAUGGAUCAGACCAAAACAAGCUGCAGGAAAUAUGAUUUAGGAAUGGAGAAAUACCCUUUAUUACUGAGAAGUUUGAGACAUUUAGACCUUAUUUGGAAAGCAUGAACGAAAGAAAAGAAAAUGUAUUUGAGAAAACAUAAAUUCCAAUGUUUUUUUUUUUAUUUCUUUUAGUCCAAGAGAACAUAUAGAGAGAAAAAAAGUUAUGGUCAGCCACUCAGCCCCACACAAUAUUUAUAUCAUUUGCAUAUAUACAUUUUUUACAUUUCUCUUACUUUUCUUUUAUUUUUUCUUAAACCAAACAAUUAGAAAUUUAUUUCAUUUUCUACUCUCUUUUCUCCUUUCAUUUCAUUUUAUUGUCUCGUAUUUUUCUUCAACAUAUCAAACAUACCCUUAAGAGACAAAAUGCCUUGCCACAUGUUGAAUUGUUGUAUUUUGGUGGCUGUUGCUCGCGCAACAGGAAGGGAUGAGGCUUCUGAAUUGCCUUGGCUUUGAUCUUGGGUUGUGCAGUCUCUUUUCACCUCUUGAAACUGUACAGAUUGAGUUUGGGUCGCUGCUGCUGUUUGGUAUUGGGAAUAUUAUUUUGCUGGGUCCUCUUCUAAGUAAAUUGCAUUCUAGGAUAACAUUAUUUGCUGAUCUUUUGUUUACUAUAGUUUCCUUCAAGUUGUAACGUCAGUUGAUCAAUAUGAUAAUCGCUCUGUAUAUCAUCAUUGUAUUUAGCCUAGCAUCCGGCCUUGUGCUAUUUUUAAUACAAUACUUUAGCUUAUAAAAAAAAGGCUUAAAUAAGUUUUUGGUCCCUAACCUUUACAAAAUGCUUGGUUUUCGUCCCUCGCCGGAGCAAAGGUGGGUUUUAGUCCCUAACCUUUGCCAAAAGGUUUGGUUUUCAUCCCUCCGGAGCUCUGGGUCAACGCCGGAGCUCCGGUGGCCUAUGUGGCAUGGCCACGUGGGAUUAAUGAGCUGACGUGGAAUUUAUUUUUUUCAUUUAAAUUAAAAAAACCUAAUUAAUUUAAAAAAAAGAAAUUGUUUAAAAUUCUAAAAAAUUAAAAAAGUCUUAACUUAUUUAUCUAAUUUUAAUUAAAUCAUUAAUAUCUAAUCCUCCUCCAUAAUCAUCUCCGAUGAAUCAAUAACACAAAAUCUGGAAACAAAUAAAGAAGAAUUAAGAAAUUAAAAAACAACAUGAAACAAAAGAAUUCCUUGGGAAUUAGAUUUCCCACCCCUGGGUUUAGAAUUGCCACCCCAUUUAAAAGUGGGGAAAAACCAAUAUUGCCCCUCCGUGUUUUAGUCCGAAUGUAUAACAUUCGGACUCCUCCGAAUUUUCAAAUGUCGGACUCAGUUAAUAAUAUUGCCCCUCCGUGUUUUAGUCCGAAUGUUAUACAUUCGGACUCCUCCGAAUUUUCAAAUGUCGGACUCAGUUAAUAAUAGAACAAAACUAUCAAUUCAGAUUCACAUUUGUAACGGGACAGAACAUCAACUCUCGGACUGGUUCAGGAGAAGCGACCCAGAGGCACCCAAAUCGACCCACACAUCACGACCAAAAGCAACCAAGAAUCAUCUGUGAUUCAAAACCGACCACACUGAGGUAAUUUGUUGGAAUCCACGACCAAGAAUCAUGUGUAUUUUGAAUCAUGUGUAUUUUGAUGAGUUAGUGUUGUAAUUUCAAAUUUAGGGUUUCAAAUUUAGGUAUUUCAGAUUAGGUUAGGUUUCGAAUCCCUUUUUAUGAGUUGAUUUGGUGAAAUUUCAUUCCUAUUGUGAUUUGUGGGGUAUAUGGGGUUCUGAGGUGCGAAUUUGGGGAUAUUCGUACUCCGAAUCUUGAAGAUUCGGACUGGUUCAGGACUUCAAGAUUCGGACUGGUCCAGGACUUCAAGAUUCGGACUUGAGAGAUUCAGUACUGUCUCUCCUAUUGCUUCUGUUAUUGUUUUUCAUGAUAAGAUGAAUGGGGUGAAGAUAAUUUCCAUGCUUUUGGCUAUCUUAGGGUAGUGGUUAAGGACAUAACCAACUUGAGAUUUCACAUUUGAAUUUCAUAACAUUAUUUGAAUUGUAUUGAAAUUUCAUAACAUUAGUUUACUGUGUAUACUUGUGGAUUGCUUCAACUAGUUAGUUACUCAUUACAUAGCUAUUAAUCUGUUUUCCUUAUUUUUUCUGAUAGAUUAUGGCGAGGACAAAGCAAACUAAGAGGGUAUCGUCUGAAGAGUUGGCCGAUCGUCGUGCCUAUCUCCACGCUUCUCAUAGGCGAGGUGAUCAUGAUACAGAUGUGUCGACUUCUCGGAAGCGGGCUAGGAAGGGGGCUCCGAAGGCGACCACUGAGGUUCCUGCCCCUGCUACUGAGGUUCCUGCUACUCAGGUUCCUGAUACUGAGGUUCCUGCCCCUGCUACUGAGGUUCCUGCUACUCAGGUUCCUGCUACUGAGGUUCCUGCUCUCUCGACGCCUGAGGUUACUGCUACUGAGGUUUCUCCUCAGUCGACGCCUGAGGUUACCGCCCACGAUACUGUUGAGCCUUCCACCUCUUCACUUGAUAUUGAUGCAGUUGAGGAGUCGGAGUCGGAGUCGGAGUCGGAGUCGGGGUCGGAGUCGGGGUCUGAGUCUGAGAUUGAGGGUGAGGAUGUAGAGGUAGAGGAUCCGAAUAUGCCGCCGCUCCAGAGAGAUCCACCGUUUCCUGGUGGGCCGGUUGAGUUGUCACUUCUGCAGCAUUACCCGGAUCACAUAGCGCCGUGGACGUGGCAUACCCUACUAGGCACCACUGACCCUCGUUAUUCUGAGCGAGGUGAUUUGAGGCUUGCCACUGCUGGUACGAAGCUCGGGCUGAUGACGUGUGAGGGGGACAAUUACAGGGAGGUCCGCUUGAUUGUGGAGAGGAGCGGACUGUAUCCACUGGUCAGGUGCAGCUAUGUAGAGACGGAUCCAGGGCUUAUAUCGGCCCUUGUGGAGAGGUGGCACGAGGAGACUAGUAGUUUCCACAUGCCAUUUGGGGAGAUGACUGUCACCCUUGACGACGUCUCCGCUCUUCUUCACAUCCCGGUUGGUGGGAGAUUCUACACUCCAGGAGUGGCCUCGAGAUAUGAUGUGGCAGAGACCUGCGCUUUGCUGUUAGGGGGGGAUGCAGAUUUGUACAUGGCUGAGUUUGAUAAGCUUAGGGGUCCGACUAUGAGGUUCAGCUUCUUGCGAGACCUUUACCCGAAAGCUGUUGCAGGUUUGUUUCAUUCAUUAUCUGAACUUUUUCCAACUAUUAUUUAUAUUUACUUAAUCAUAAUUGGUAUUACAUUGUAAUGUAGAGGGGCGGUACGAGCAUGCAGCCAGGAUGUACCUGAUGCAUCUUGUUGGCGCGACAUUGUUCGCCGACAAGAGUGGGGGGCACUCAUUCUCCGCCCGUUGGAUAGGCAUGCUACAGGAUCUUGAGCGGGUGUCGGAGUUCGCGUGGGGCGCCAUGGCCCUUGCCACGUUGUACGACCAGCUUGGACAGUCUUCUCGCAGCGGGGUCAAACAGUUGGCCGGUUACACUUCCCUGUUGAUGGCCUGGGUCUUUGAGCACUUUCCAGACAGGCUCGUUCGCCGGUAUGCGAACCCGGCUUACACAGAGGACCAGCCCAGAGCUCGUAGGUGGACAGAGUCACGGUCGGGGCAUGCUAGGCUUGACGAGAGGCGAGUACUACUUGAUGAGUUGACGGCCGACGACGUCACUUGGACUCCAUAUGAGGCCCACAGGGAAUGGCGACAGCGGGAUGAGAGGGCUUUGUUCUCAGGCUACAUUCGGUGUCCCUAUCCCCCUGCUGUGCGACCUCAUCUUCCGGAGCGGGUCAUGCGACAGUUUGGGUAUAUACAGACGAUCCCGCGCCACCCUAGUGAGAUGGAUAGAUCUCCCGCAGCUGAGGCUGUUGAUGCGGCAUUCGCAGGUUAUGUGCAGUACUUGUUCCCUGAGGGCGACCCUGCUAUAGAGGAGGGACAGGCUGUGGGCGGUUACAUGGAUUGGUACGCUAGAGUGUCUCAUUGUUUCAUCAUACCGGAUGAGAGGAGGAUUGAUCUCAGUGCCGUGGUAAAUUUUAAAUUUUAUUUCUAUUUUCUUUAUGCACUUGUGGUUUUCUGUAUGUGAUUUACUAACAGCGUUUUUUUUAUUAUUUACUUUCAGGCUGCUUUGCGUAGGGCUUUAGAAGUCCUUGAGUUGUCACUUGAGGUGGAUGAUGCUUUGCUGCCAGGCACACAGGCCCGCGCUUUAACGGAGAGAGCACUUCGCAUCCUCCAGGACUUGGCUGGGACACAGGGCAUUGCUUACGCUGCUGGGAGAGGAGGUCUGGGAGCAGGUGGCCGAGUAGGUGGCCGAGCCGGCGGCCGAGCAGGUGGCCGAGCAGGUGGCCGGGAGGGCGGCAGGGCAGGAGCCAGGGGAGGUCGUAGGGGUAGGGGAGGUCGUCGGGGUAGGGGACAGUAGGGGACAUUAGUUGUAUGAGCAUUUUGUUGACAUUACUAUUAUGAUAUUAGGGGACUAUGUAUUUUGCACUACUAUUUCGGAUUAGUAUGAGUUUUAUCUUCACUUUAACGUAUAUUUUUUUUUUUAUUUUUCACUUUUACCCUAAACCCUAAUAAUUUGUGAGCUUUAUCUUCACUUUAACAUUUUUUUUUUCUUUUUCACUUUUAUAAUCAACCCUAGUAAUUUUAAAAAUCAAUAACUUUUAUAACCAACCCUAAUAAUCGACCCUUGUAAUGGAAACCAAAACCUGGCACUCAACAACACAAACCAUUGUAAUGAAGUUUAAUCUUCAAGAUAUAAUCCGAAACUUCAACCUUCGGAUCAGUAUGAAACUUCAACUUCCGGAUUAGUAUGAAACUUCAACUUCCGGACACCUCUGACAGAUUCUACCACCUUUUUCAGCACCAUUACUCCAUAGCUUCACCUACCUCACCACCAUUAUGGCCUGCAUAAACUCCUCAACCACCAAACCACCCCCCAUUACAUUUCACUUCUGAUCACCCUCACUCCCUCACUUCCUCUUUUCUUACUACCCCUCAACCCCCCACCACCAUCAUUGCACCACCAAUGCAAUACAAGCAUCGUUUGAGCGCAGUAUUAACAUUGUAGAGCACCGUUUCAAGUCUCCAAUGUAUAAGAAUAUGAGAGGAUUCGUUGCUAAACAUGCACUUCACCUAAUGUAUGAUGAACAAAACAGAUUUUGGGGUCAUGGUGAGAAAUGCGGUUGCGUGAUGAAAGUCACUCAUGGACUACCUUGCGCUUGUGCACUUCAGAGUAUUGCCUCAAUUCCGUAUGCAGCAGUUGAUCCAUUCUGGAAGAUACUUUCUUGGGAACAAGUGCCUGUUGUGGAGAGUCAAACCUCAAACAGUCGAUGCAUGCCGCUAGAGAUUGAGGCUUUGUGGGCUCAUUUCAAUACCUUGGAUGAUGCGGGCCAAAGUAUGCUGAGAAGGAAGCUUAAAGAGCUUUAUUGUCCUCAAAUCAGUUCAUUGUGUCCUCCUGAAGUGAAGAUAAAGCACAAUCAAUCGUCCAAGGAGAGGAAAACCAAACCUCCCAGAGGUCAAUCAAUAGGAUCCACCCAGCGUGACCUUUCACAUUGGGAACAUGUUGACAAUCAGACCAAAGAACAAGAAUCGAAAGCUAGCAAGAGGAAACCUAGGCUCACCAAAACUCCUAAAACAACUCCAACAUCGCAAGCUCCUAAGUCAAAGAACAAGAUGGCUAUGACGGCCACCGGCUCCAAAAUCUACUUACCGGAGUUGCCAUCUUUUUUAUGGCCAUAUAUACAUGAAGUGAUAGAUGUUGUCGGGGAUGGUAAUUGUGGAUACAGAGCCGUCGCUGCAUUGCUGGACCUUCAGAACGGUCAGGACGGUUGGCCUCGGGUUAGGGAAGAGCUGAUUGUAGAACUCACACUCUAUGAGAAACACUAUACACGCAUGUGGGGUUAUGAUGUGGUACAAGCCAUGCACAAUCGUCUCACUCUCCCUCCUGAUGGUAGAGCCACUAAAGCCAGAUGGAUGCAUCUACCGGAGAUGGGGUACCUUAUUGCUAACCGGUUUCGGGUGGUUUUCAUCUCCAUCUCGUUAAAAUCUAGUUACACUUACCUUCCGAUGAGAGGAGGCGCCCCACCGUUAGAACAUCCUGUCAUAGCUAUUGGUCAUGUGACCAAUCACUUUGUACAGGUAUAUCCUCAAUUAAAUACAUAUCUUCUUUUUUAUUAAUACACUCUCUUGUCACGUUAAACAAUUUAUAUUGAAAUAUAUCUAAUUUUACUACUAUACUCUUAAAUGUAGCUGAAGUUGGUGUCUGGACAUCCUAUGCCGCCAAUUGCUCCCCAAUGGGAAUACAACGUUGAAGAACCCGAGUCCGAAUGGUGUAAACCGUAUAAAGAGCGUUUGGAUAGAUUUAUGGCUGAACACACUGUUUGGAUUGGUCCUUGUGUUAUUACCAACUUUGAUUUAACAGACAUAACAGAAGAUUGAUAAUAUGAUUCAUGUUUGUAAUGUUGUAACCAUGUCUGUAACCAUAUUAUUAGCAAGAAUAUUUUCCUACAUAUAUUAAGACAAUGCUCCAGUAUUGUAACGAGGUCUGUUUGUCCCAUAUUAUUGUCACUGCAUUUUCACGUUUCUGUCUGUGACAGUAUCUGGUUUUAGAGGUACGAAUCUUGAAGUUUCAUAUUAAUCCGGGUUUUCAACUCUCGGACGUCUUAAAAAGGGGGGUGGUAAAUUUAAUUAUGAAUCAGUCCGGAACUUAUAGUCCUGGAUUGAUCCGAAACUUAAAGUCCUGGAGUGAUCCGAAACUUAUAGUCCUGGAUCACCCUUAUCAAGCAGCAGAAUGCCUACACAACCAACUCUGACCACCAUCAAUUACAAUCUCAACCACCAUCACUGCCUACACAACCAACUCUGACCACCAUUAAUCUUCACCACCAACCCCAUUACUCAUUCCUCCUACACCAUAAAUCCCUUUACUUCCUAUAUUAGUCCCCUAUGCACCAAAGGCAUCCUCCACCAUUACAUUACUUCCCUUCUUCCCUUGUUGCAGGAAAUAACCAGAAGAAAUGGAACAAGAUCCACCAUCAACCUUCAUCCGCCCUUGCAAACGCCAAGACAACCUUGCCUCCAGCUCUCGUCCUCUCAUUCCCGGCCCAGCUGGCGCCGUCCAGGCCGCCAUGAUUCACCGCAGAUCCACCGACGACAAACCAAACAUUUCAACCCAACAAUUCGUUAGGCAAGUCCUCCAAGACGGCCACGACACCGAUCCCGAUUUCCAAUCCAAUGCUUGGCUUUCAGCCCUGCAAUUAAACGGAUCUGCCACUCCUCUGGAUGCAAUCACUCACCAUCAUGAAAGAGUAGAUCACGUCAUCGGUGUUAUCAAAUCCUGCAAUCCCAAUGGGUUUGGAGAUGCAACAGUUACACUCAAGGUAUUUCCUUAUUCCUCCUUAUAUUUCAGUGAAAUGAUUCAUGUUUCUCUCAUGACAUCUGAGAUUGAGAUUCAGGACCCUACGGGCACUGUUGGCGCUAGUAUCCAUCACAAGGUCUUCACUGAAAGCGUAUUUGCGAAAGACAUAACUGUUGGAUCUGUUCUGCUUCUCCAAAAGGUUAAUCUAUAGGCAACUUUAACAUUUUAAGCUUCUUUGGACAACUUGGACAUCACAUCGUUUCUUCACUUUGCUUUCAGGUCGCUGUGUUCUCUCCUAGAAAGUCUAAUUGUUAUCUGAAUAUAACCUUGUCCAAUGUAGUCAAGGUAUGAUAAUCUUCUUCCACAUCUAAAAUAAAGCAUUUGAAUCUUUUCCACAUCUACAACAAAGCAUUUGAAUCUGUUUUCAUUAUACAGGUAUUUUCAAAGGACAGUGCACCUCCACCUGGAAGCUUCACAAACAUAACAGAAGAUUAAUAUUAGUUCUUUACUAAUCUAUAUUAAGGACUAUUUGUGUAACUUUUGAAAUGCUGAACUUAGAUUUCGUAUUGUUAUUUUGCUUUACUUUUCUAAUGCUUAACUUGGAUUAUUGUAUUGUAAUUUUGUUUAAAUUGGAUUAUGUAACUUUUCAAUUUUAAAGUCAUGUUAUAUUUGCUGCAAUUGGACUAAAGUCAUGUUAUUUUAACUGUAAUUAAAGAAUCCGAAGGUUUAACUCUCGGACUAGUCCAGAACAUCAACCUCUGGACUGGUACGGAGGUUUAAGUCCCGGAGGGUAUUCCCGGCAUUUUUUUAAAAAGACUAGGGUGGCAAUUCUAAACCCAGGGGUGGGAAAUCUAAUUCCCGAAUUCCUUUGCUCUUCCUCUUCAUGUUCUUCAUCAUCAUCUUCUUCUUAUUCUUCUUCCCAUAAAUUAAAAACAUUUAACCUAAAAUCACAAAAUCCAUUUUCCAGAAAGAAUCCUAAAACCAGGAAAAUUUCUCAAACCCACAAAAUAUCCUAAAACCAGAAUUAAAUCUCAAACUCACAACCGAACCAUUCGAUCUUCUAAUCGCACAACCAUCUUCAGCUUCAAGUGCUUACCCAUCAUACUCAAAAGCUCCACCUUGAAGAACACCCAAUUGCCCAGAACUGUUGCUACAUAUCAGGGACCAAUAAAUCCAGAUCCGGAUUCGGAAUUGAUCUGCUCAGUCCCUUUCCAUUUCCCUCGCUUGAGUUUGCAAAAACCCAGAUUGUGAAUGUUGCAGAUCUUGACCAAGAACUCAAGCUUGCACCGUGUCUCCCUAAAACUGGUCACAAAUUUGGUGUACCCUGCGAAAUUCGUCGGAACCCGCUGGCUUAUGAGCACGCGAUUGAGUAUGCGAGAAACCUUGGUGUGCGAUUUGCAACUGUUGAUACUGGUGUGAAGAGAAGGAAUGCUUGGUGGUUGUUUAAUCAGAGAUUUGGUGAAGGUGUGUUAGAAACCCGUGAAAGCCACUGGGAAAAAAAACAAGACCAGAAGCACAAAAGGAACCAAACUAAAAUUUUACAAUCAUAAUCCUUCAGAACAAAAAGAAUUCAUUGAAAAUCAGUCCCCAACCUUUUUUUAAAAUGAUUUAAUUAAAAUUAAGAUAAGUAAGUUAAGCUUUUUUUUUUAGAAUUUUAAUUUUUUUUUUAAAUUAAUUAGGUUUUUUUUAAUUUAAAUGAAAAAAUAAAUUCCACGUCAGCUCAUUAAUCUCACGUGGUCAUGCCACAUGGGCCACCGGAGCUCCGGCGUUGACUCAGAGCUCCGGAGGGAUGAAAACUAAACUUUUUGGCAAAGGUUAGGGACUAAAACCCACCUUUGCUCCGGCGAGGGACGAAAACCAAGCAUUUUGUAAAGGUUAGGGACCAAAAACUUAUUUAAGCCUAAAAAAAAUGUAUCAACGUAAAUCUUUCAUAAUGGUUUCAAAUAAAGGGAACAGACUUAAGGUAUGUUUCAAUUAAAGUUGGGUAGGAUGUGAAAGUAUUUUCAUCCCAUCCAACUCUUUUGUUCAUUUGAAAAAAAAUAGUGUUUUUUUACAUUGGAAUGUUUGUUAAUGUGGUUGGUACUGUAUCCAAACACACACUCAAUAUAAGACCCAGGAGUGACGACAUAUAAGCCUCUCUCCAAGCUACCCUUUCAAAUCAUCUUCAUUGUGCCCUUGUCCAGUGUAAUAAGUGAACAAUUAAUAAAGGUAAUAGACAAACUUGAAUUGUUUAACAAGGCGUUGACAGUUGACACAUACGAGAUAAUGUGAAGAAGAGGGCUAUAACGAACAGUAUCCAAAAUCAGAUUGUUAUGAAGGACAGUACAAACAUGAGUGACUCGAACCUUGCUAUUGUUUAAAGAACAUGUAAUGUGACAACCAGAAUCAAGUGCCCUCUCACAAGAAGAAUUAAACUAUAAUAGGUACUAAGUAAAAUAAGAAAGAAUAAAACUUUGAACAUCUUCAGAACAAGACUCAAUGGCAGGUCUUGAAGCCUAAUACAAUUAAGGGGAAGGCAGAGAAGUUAAUAGUUGACAAUGGUCAGUUGAGAGAAUAUGAGAGUUUUUCAGAGGAUCUUAGUUCUAAAACGGAGUCUUUUGUUAUUACAUCACAUUGGUGGAAGCUACGCUAUGAAGUACAUUUGUUUUCAAUUAAGAACAACUGAACAAGCAUUAAACAAAAUGUUACUUGAUUUGGUUGGUGUUAAUGCUAGGGACUUAGGGGUGUGCAAAUAAACUUGAUCUGACCGAAAUCGUUUCACCCAAUAGCAAACUUUGACCUUCAACUUUAGUUUCAAUUAUUUUGUAUAUUUAAAAAUAACGUAAGGCUUUGUUUAUGAACCGGUUGGCCAAUGUCUGAGGAAGAUACAUUUGGGGAGGUCUGUAGACACACUUCGCUUCAAUAAGGCUUGGUGUCUAGAGGGCUUUUGGAUCAGUAUAGGCGACCUAGAGCAUGAGUCUGACUUCUGAGUUCAAUGUAGAUCAACUCAGCCUAAACUCUCACCCUUAAGAAGCUUAUCAUUCACUAGUUUGAACUUUUAAGGAAUAUUUAAGUUAAAGAUAAUUAGGCAUAAUAUUUAAUCCUUGGCAUAUUCUGUAAUAUUUCUUAGAAUAUUCCUUAUCAUAUUCUGUAUUUUCUUGUUAUAAACAAUACAUUGUCUACCUCACACAAGUUCUGGUGAUAGUUAUCGCAUCUUACAUGGUAUCAAGUUACGGUUUCAAACACUAGCCCCCAAACCUUAUCUUGUCUUCUACAACGCUGUGCGCCGCCACCGUUCUGUCCUCCUCAGUUCGCAGUUCUCUCUCUCUCUCUCUCUCAUGGCUGACGAUGCUACUCCCCUAUCUCUGCCCUUUGCUUCCUUGGUCCACAUGAUCACGGUCCGGCUCAAUUCUGAAAAUUUCCUUCUCUGGCGUAAACAGGUUACAUCUCUUUUUCAAAAUCAGAACCUAUUUCACAUUGUUGAUGGUUCUAUUGAUCCGUCGCCGCAACUUGUGCAGCAAAAUUUUGCUACUGCUACCUCUCCAGGUUUACGUGAUGGUGUUUCGAUUCCGAAUCUUCGUUUUGCUCAAUGGCAGGUUCAAGAUCGGAACGUCCACAAUCUCCUUCUUUCCUCCUUAACUGAGGGGCCUUAUUUGAGACUCUCAAUGCCAACACUGACAUUCAAUCACAUCCUUCCAUUUCCUAUUUUAAAUAUCAUUGAAUUCAAAAUUAAUUAUAAGCUAGCAAAAUGGAGGGAUGUGAUUGCAUGAUUGUGUAAAACUUAUUUACACUGUCAGUGCAUAAAAAUUAAUCUCAUAAUAAAAAGCAUUUUAACAUAUUUUAAUAAUUCAUAAUCUUAUCAUUGUCAUAAAUAAAAUACUAGAGUACUAAAAUAAAGCUUUACAUCCCAAUGUACCUAAUGAAAGCUUUACAUCCUCAAUAUAUCAUAAGAGCAUGUUUAACUCCUCUAAGCGACAACUGCACUCUCAUGUUGGUCUGCAAACAAAAUAACCAAUACCAACUACCACACCAUCAAUACCCAUCUUCAACACGCCAAAAUCACCAGAUGUGUAAAAUGUGAAGAACUCAUUCCUUAGUGUAACAUUCAGUGCAACACCACUAUCAUUUAUCCACAUGCUCUCAUAUGAUACAAGAUUGUCUGACUCAUGGUCACGAGGAAUAAUAAGAUCAUCAAAAGUAGCAGUAGUAACACGGAAAUCAUCAUCAUGAUUCUUAUGUCUCUGCUUACUAUUAUUGUUUCUGCUAUCCCUUUUUCAUAUAAAAGAGUUCUUCUGUAUGUGCCCUUUUUUGUGACAAUAAUGACAAUCCACAUUCUUGUAUCUAGACUAGGACGGACUUCUACUCUUAUUUCUACCACCUUUUGGUACUUCAUCUUAUUCCUAAGUUAAUUUGUAUUUGUCUUCCUUCUCAUCUCCUCAUAGUACCAACACUUCAUCAAACUUGAUGCUCAUUCCAGACAAUUGAUCUCGAAACCCCUUAAAAUCAAGUGGUCUGAAAUAGAAGACUCAUCCUUAUACCUCAAAUUCAUCAAGGAAUUCAACAGAUCCAAUUUAUUAUUCCCUGAUUUAGAAGCAUACAAAGAUUCAAUCUUCGUUCAUAAGGAUUUUGCAUCUUCCUACUAGCCAUUUGAUUAUAAACAUUAUCUUCUACAUACUUUUGGAUGAAACCACAACCCUGCUAAUGUUCAAAACUUCAUUCCUCAUUAGACAUGUCUUCCAGCUUCUCAGUAGAAACCACAAGACGAUGCAACUUCUUCACAAAAAACAAAUCAUUCAUCUUUCCCUUUCACAAGUGAUAAUUAGUAUCAUUCAAACAAAUCAUAUUUGUAUUUGCUCCUAUCAUUCAAGCAAGUCAAAUAGCCCCUUAACCAAAGAGCUUUGAUAUCAUUCUAAUAGCAGAAAUAACCGAGUAAUAUGCAAUGAAUAAUAAAUUUUCCAACUUGAAUCUAUGAGGAGCAAUAACAAAUAAGCAUAAACAACAAAAAUAACAAAUAAAGAGAUGAUUUUAGGGUGAAAAACAUUCUCAAUAAUGUGAGAAGUAAAAACAACAUGCACAAAUCAGUAAUCAAGCUCCAAUGUAAUCAAAUAACAGUACAAAAGAGUAUUAAAGCGCAACACAAAUAUGUUGAACAAUUUGUCAAUCAAAUAAGCAAGAAACUCAAAAUAGAGAACUUACAGAUUAUGAAAAACCAAAAAAUUGUUAUUGUUGGCGCCCAAUUUAAACCACCUCAAACAGCUUCUUACCAAUCAACCGUCCAGAUUGAAAUACCAUGAGUCCCAAACCAACUGUCAAAAUUUCAACCUGAUCUGACAAUGAACAAAGGAGAAAUUUCUUAUCUGCUAUGAAUGCCAACCAAAUCUUUAUCUUUUCUCUUUUCUCACUCGCCUCCAUUUGUAUACCAAACUCUUACCCUUACCAUAAUUGACUCAUCUUUACCUGUUUAAGUGGAUAUUAUGCCCCUCUCCACAUAGUUGUGAGGGAGAGAUUUGUUGGAGUACUCCCUUCCUAUGUGGAGAAAUGCAAACGCUCACGGGCCUCACUUAAGCAAGUAGAGAUAGAGCAAUUAAGAUAAGAGAGGGGUCUGACCAAAGUGAUGCAAUGCAAGAGAAAAAUGAGAAAAGAAAACAGAAUCUAGUUCGCAAAAUCUCUUCUUUAUUUGAUCAGGCUAAAAUUUUGACAGUAGAUUCGUGAGUCAUAGUACUCGAAUCUAUACGAUUCAUAAAUGAGAAGUUUCUUGAGACUGGAGAAAAUAGACGCAGACAACUUGAGUAUUUUCUAGAAAUUAAUUGACAGCAAUACAGAAGUUUGACAAUUAAUAUUAAGGCUAUGUUUGACAUGUCAUUUCAGCUAGUUUGCUCUUUAAAAGUGUUUGGUAAAUGAGUUUAUUCCAGUAGCUUAAAGCUUUAAGCUAUUACCAAUUGUUCAACAUAUUUGUGUUGUGCUUUAAUACUCUCUUGUAUUGUUAUUUGAUUAGAGGGGAGCUUAAUUACUGAUUUGUGCCCAUUGUUUUAUUGCUCCUCAUAGAUUCAAGUUGGAAAAUUUAUUAUUCAUUGCAUAUUACUCGGUUAUUUGUGCUAUUAUAAUGAUAUCAAAGCUCUUUGGUUAAGGGGCUAUUUGACUUGCUUGGAUAAUAGAAGCAAAUACAAAUAGGAUUUGUUUGAAUGAUACUAAUUAUCACUUAUGGAAGAGAAAGAUGAAGGAUUUAACUGAAGUAACUUAUAACUUAAAGCUUCUUAUUGAAUUUAUUUUCUUUUUUAUCCUUAUUAUUUUAUUAAAAUUCCAACUUUGGCCUUAUAUAUAUUUUUUAUAUUUAAUUUAAUAAAUAUAUAGAAAAUUAAAUAAGUAAAUAUUAAUAUUAUAUUUUUAAGGUAAUAAAUAGCUUAAGUGAAAUUAAAAAUAUUUAAAAGUUAUAAUAAUUUUAAUAUUAAUAUUAUAUAAGUAAUAAUGUGAAAAUAAAAUAAUGGUAAAUAUAAAAAGAAGUAUACAAGUAUCUUCUUUUAUCAUUUUACAAUUUCAAUUUGUUUAACCUUCAGUUUUACCAAAAAAAAAUUAUUUCAAUCACGUAGCUUUUUAGUUUUCAGCUAGCUUAUCAGUUUAGACAUGCCAAAUAUAGCCUAAGCCGGACAAGGAACAGCUAAUUAAUUUAAAAAUUUAGAACAUAAAUCACAAACAUCUUCAAUGCUAAUUUUAAGAUGCAAACACCAAAAGACAAGGCACAGCAAGCAAAAUAUGAAUUCACCAUUCAAACACAAAUACUUGGAGAUGGGUCGAAUUAGCAAUAAAAUCAAAUCAGGGUUUCGUGUGAUGUUUGGGCCUUUGGGGAUUACGGGGUCAUUGCUCAUCUGCAUCAAAUUGUUGAAAUGGUACAGUUUUUUACUAAUAGUAAUACCAAAACAAAAUCAAUUCAGUUAGUAAAACGUGAAAGUGGUACAGUUCUAAAAUAGUGGCACAGACAGCAUCCAAUUCAGUGAAGGUAGGCUUUGAAUGAUCGACUGAGGUAUUACUUUGCCUAUUUUUCACUUCUAGGUCAAUUCAUAAAUCCUAAAAAUUGAGACAGAACAUACUUAAAAUGUUAACAAACUAUACGGAAAAAUGUGAACAACAAAUGUUCAUCAAAGACAUAUCUAUGGCCUCAAACACUGCAAUAGAAAAAUCCAGCAUCACACGUAAAUUUAUGACUUUUGAAGAUUGAAGCUGGAUUUCAUUUCAGACCAGAUCAAAACCGAAAAAAAAAAAAGAAAUAAAUCAAUCAAAACAACUUCAAUUCAGAAAAUACAGAGAUGAAAUUAAUAGCUACAAUGUAAUGGCGUUUGGAGGCGGAUUUGUGUAGAAAAAAACAAAUCCGUACUAUGAUGCCAUAGAUUUUAUGUGAAGGGCUUAAUAGUAGCAGGGCACCCCGUAGAAAACCUACAGAGAAUUCAGAGCCAUUGUUAAAAAACUACUCUCCCCUAUAUGCCUUAGCCCUCAAUAUUAUAAAGCAAACACACACAAGUAAAAUCAAAUUCUGAGCUCAAAAUUUUGAAAGGUAGAAGGAGAAAACAAUGGGAAGAAUGAAAGUUGAAACCCUAGUUUUGUGUAGCGGCUCUGUGAAGUUAUAUAGCACAUUACCCGGUUGGAAGAGAAGAAAGUUUGAUGAGCUUUGUGUUCUUGCUGGGCUUUAAAGUAAAGGCCCAUGUUUACAUCCACAAGCAUAUUUUUGCUUAUAAUUGCCACUUAUCUUAGCACGGCCCAGUGGCAUGUGCCUCUUUUAAAUCAAAAAAGAGGAAAUUGUUAGAUAACGUGUUAUAAAUAAGAUCUAAGCAAGUGAUGAAAGAUAGGAGAAGAGAGGAGUAAGAGUAGAGAGAAUCAAGAGUUUUAGAGAAUAGGUGGAAUGAGGGGUUGGAGAACAAUCGUGCUGAUAACGUGUUAGAAAUAAAGAGAUGAACUAAUAUAAGCAAAGAGAAGAAAAGCAAGUAAAGAGAGAAGAGAGCAAAAAAAGAGAGAAUAAUCAGAAUAGUGUGAAUGGGGAUAGGUUGUUUGAUGCAACCUCCUCUAUAUUUAUAGCUAUAAACAAUGGGUCAAGUAUAGAGUCCAUGGGCUUGGCCCAAUGGUCAUCCUAUUCAUAACAGAAAUCACAUUGAUAUUCCUCAAGUGAUAUAUAUUCAUAGUGUAAAUUUAGAAUUUAUUUACCAACAUAGGGGAGUCACCUAUUGACCAAAAGCUCUGCUAGGGUUAGAAAAAAAAGUGCAGCGCCGUUCUCCGCAUUGGGGGCUCCUCCUCCGCUAGGGAGGUUCUUCUCCUACUUAGUAGGUAGUUCUUUUCUCCCAUAAUAGGUGGGUUUCUUCCACAGUAGGUGGAUUUUCUACCCAAAUAAGUGGGUUUGUUCUUGCUUUCUAGUUUUCCUGUUUUGUCGGCCACCACUCAUCUGUUUAUGCCACCACUGCCUCCACCUUGGCCGUUUUCACUUCCUCCACUGCUCAUCGUGUGCGGAGACGCAGAUCGAGUUACAAGCGACGCGGGUCGCCUCCAUCGCAACCGCGAGUGCUCCUUCAACCUAGGUCUCAGGCCCCUUUUCCAAUCGUCUCUCUCUGGUUGUGCUUUGGGUUGAAAAGGGGUGGUUUGUAGUUGUUUCUGUUUUGUGGAAGCUUUGACGCGCCGUCGUGCCUUUGUCGUCACCGUACCGUAGCUGCGCCUUCUCUGCAUCAUUCGCAACCUUCCUCAUCCCUCUGUUCUGUCCGAUAGAUCUGUAGCCUCCCUAUUUUCCAUGGUCUAGUGUUGCUAACUUGACUCCUCUAGGUACCUCCGUUGAAGCUUUAUUUGCUUCUUUGAUAGCUUUUCAGUUUGUGAAAAUCCGGUAGAGUCUCGGUUGAUUGGCAGUGGAGCAGUUGCUUAAAUUUGUAUUUGUAAUCUUCUUACUGUUCGGAAAGUCAGGUUGCUAUGCUAGUGUUCUUAGGUUUUUAAGGUCUGUAUGAUGUUCUUAGUUUGUCUGGUUGCUUAGAUCUGCAUCAGUGAGCAUGCUUUAAGAUGUAAGUGUCGUUAGACAAUUUUUGAAUUUUAAUCUUUGCACUGUUGACAAAAAAAAAGUGAUAUAUAUUCACACCUCAUUUUUAUACACUUCAUUUCCACCUAUUUUUAUUUAAUCUUGUUUUUUCUUAUCAUAUAUGACUUCUUAUACUUUCUCUCUCUUACUUUUUCUUUUCUUCCUAUUUCUCUCAUCUUUCACCUCAUCUUUGAGGUGUGAACAAACAAUUAUUCUUAACAUUGUUGCCGUAUUUGACCAAAACAAAAAAAACAUUGUUGCACUAACUGUUUUUUUGGUUUGCAAAAUGUAUUAACUUCCCUCUUUCACAUAUCAGUUAGAAUAAUAUAGGUGUGCCGAGUGUAAUAAUUAUAAAUCUUAGAAAAGGUCGGGUCCACAAUGAUAAACAUUAGAGGAGGUUAGUGAAAUGCUCUCAAUAGAGUAUGGUGGUUAAUAUUUUGUUAAAUAAUAGAUGAGAGGUAAAUGCAACAAUGAUGAACUUCAAGGAAUGCGGGUGGAGUUUCUCUAAAAUAAAAAAAUGGUUAAAUGUGUUUAUACUAUAUAAUCCUUGUAAAAUAUUGGUGAAUUGGAUAUGAUUACUUAAAAAAAUCAUAGUUUUUGACUCAACAUUAUUGAAAUAAGUGAAAUUAGUUCAUAUCAUACUUUUUGAGACAUUAUUUUGUGUGUUAAAGACAAUUUUUCACAGCCACAUAUAUUUAUUUUUUGUUUCAGUGAUGAUUUGGACCGCCAUAAAAUAAAAUGAGAGACUAAUUUCACUCAUUUUAUUAAUAUCUAUAUAAUAUACUAAAGGAAAGUUUUUUUUCUAGAAGGUUUUGUCACGUGUCACCCCCAUAUCAUCCCAAUAAAAAAUAUACAAAUUUUUUUUUUCAAUAUUAAAUCUGCAUGUUUUUCAAUAUUAAAUCUGUAUUAAAAAAAACAAAUAUUUUUUCUUACCUUUGAAUACAUAACAAAUAUUAAAUCUGAACAUAAAUUUUGUUUUCCAAUAUUAAAUCUGCAUGUUUGAAAUAAGUUUGAAAUACAUAUUUUUAAUACAUAUUUAAAAAAAACAAUUCCGAUAUACUAAAGGAAUGUUUUUUUCUAGAAGGUUUUGCCACGUGUCACCCCCAUAUCAUCCCAAUAAAAAAUAUACAGUUUUUUUUUUCAAUAUUAAAUCUGCAAUGUUUUCAAUAUUAAUCUGCAUGUUUUUCAAUAUUAAAUAUGCAUUAAAAAACAAAUAUGUUUUCUUAUCUUUGAAUACAUAACAAAUAUUAAAUAUGAACAUAAAGGUAGCAACUAUUUUAUUGCUUUCAUUCACAUUUUUACCUCAUACGCUUGCUUCCCCUGUUUCGUUUACUUUUUUCUCCCGUUGUAAUUUAGAAGCUCCUUGACAACCUGUUCUUCCUUUUGAAAUCAUGCUUAAUUUCUUCCAGGUAACUAUCCUUUGCAUCUAUUUUUUCUCCUAAGGGAAUUUGCAUCUUUAAUUUGGUUUUGUUUAUAUGGAACAACUGUUCACGUGUGGGUUCCUUUGUGAGAAGUUGUUGUGUGGUGUGGUGGAUCUACAUGGAGAAAGACCUUACAUUCGGUAUAGAAUCGUGAGUGCUGGUUCUAUUUUGAUUUCAUCUCUCUUUUUUAUUUUUACGUUUUCAUUUGUAUAUAAUAAUGCAAAGGAUUUAUGCAGGUCUAAAGGAAGAAGAAAAAAUUUCAAAAAUAAAAAUUACCCCAAGUAUCCGUGCAAUUGCUUCCAUAUGUCAUCAUUGUUGUUUGUGUUGAGUUAUUGGAGGUAAAUGUCUUCCCUUCUUUCCUUUUUGUUCUAUUAUGCAUGCAAAUAGAGUUGAUGAUGAAAGAUACUUUACUUUCCAAGCCUAUUGCUAUUUUGUGAUGCCCCACACAAGAGCUUAAUCAAAAAAUUCUUUCAGGUUAUUGUCGUGUAAAAAUAUCCUUCGAGAGUGGAUUGAUAAUAAUAUUUUCCUUUUUUCUUCACCUUUAAAGGUUUGAAAAAUUUCGUGUGCUAGCACCAAUAAGUGCAGAUUUCAAGAACCAAGAAGACGGAAUCAGUAAUGAUAUGGAAGACUCAUGGAAUUUGUGCAAUAAUAUUUUCUUAUUAAUCAAAUAAUAAUAUAUUUAUUAUGAAAUAAUGCACAUAUUUUAUGUCAUUUUUACUCUAACUGUUUUGUAAUUUAUCAGCAAAUUAAUAUUUUUAACCACUCUGUACGUAGUUUUUGUAAAAUUGUAAACUAAUAUUAACCUAAUAAUUUUUUUAAUGAAAUCAUGAAUAUCUUUUAAAAAACAUUCACUUAUUCCAUUAACUUUUUUAACAUAUUUCGUGAAUAAAAAAUAUAUUUAGUUCAUACUUCUCUAUCAAAAAAUUGAAUUUUAAAUUCAAAUUCGUUGUUAAUUAAAGAUUGGUACUUUUUUUUCAAUUUUGAAUCUUAAUUUUACUUUGUAAUCUUUUUCUUAUAUAUUAAAUAGUUAAAAAAAUCAAAUUCGAAAAUAUUUUAAAAUAGAAAACUUUAACGAUUUUAUUUUAUAAAAUUAAAUUCUUUUUUAUUAAUGUUUUAGUAAAUGAUAUAGUUAUUUUUUUUUCAAAUUUCUUCUUUUCCAAUUUGAUUAUUAAUUUUACUUUGAUCCCUUUACUUAAUAAUUAAAUUUUUAGAAAAUAUAUAUAUAUCAAAUGAAAUUCCUAAUUGUAAAACAUAAUUUAACUGAUUCUAAAUUUUGAGUUAAUGCUUUGCCAAAAUAUAGGGGAAAUGAAACUGAUACAAGUUGCAUUAGAAUUGAGAAAUCAUACUUUGACUAGAAAUUAAACCCGUGCGUUGCACGGGUUUGUUAUUAAGUUAUGUGUCUAUUAUUUGUAAAAAUAAUUUAUGUAAUAUGAAAAAUUGUUGAAUUGUAGAUAUUUAAGAAUAUGAUAAACAUAUGUAAUGUAAUUAUAUUAAUGAAGCUCAGUAAAAAAAUUAUUGUACACUAAUUUUUUAGUGUUUUUUUUUGUAUAAACAUUUGGUACCGGUAAUCCUUUGGAUAUACAGACAAAUUCAAGAUUUAGUCACAAUUAAAACUCAUGAUCCCUCUCCCAUAGUGUAUUGUGUGGGGAUCGAAACCGAGAGCUCUUCACACACGCUCAGUCUGCGUUGCCAACUGAGCUACCCAUCUUGAGUUAAUUUUUUAGUAUAUUAAAGCACAUAUUUUAUAUUUUAUGUUUCUUUAAUAAAAAUUAUUUUCAAUUUAUUUGGUGAUUAUAUGUUUAAAUAGUAAUGCACUCUCAAUAUUAAGUAAAUUGAUGAAAAUAUAUAAUUAGAGCUGAAGAAUACAGUGUUUGUGUCAAAAAACUUUUAUAAAGUGAUUUUUACCUCUUGCUUUCAUGUUUUGGCCAUGAAAUUAGUGUUUUCAGUUGAAACUUUAUGGAAAGUGUGCUAAUGAAAGUUUAAUGUCGAAACAUAUUCUUAGUGACACAUAUAAAAUUUAUACUAUUUAUUGCAUAAUGAGUAUUUAAUUAGUUAAUAUGCAGUUUGUAAGAACAUAUAUUUUUUUAACUUAAUUAUGAAUUAAGAUAAUAAUUUAUCUUAUUCGAUAAAUUUUUAUAGUUUUAUAGAAAGUCAAAAAUUAUAAAACCUCAUAAUACAAUUUGAAAACACAAAUCGUUCAACCUAAUGAAUGUCUAUUACAAUGGUUAAAAUUAACUUUUUGGAUCCCUAAGAUUCCGUCCUUAAGUAAUGCACUUUAUGAUAGACCUUUAACUUUCACUACACUUGAGUUGAACAUGAUUCUCUCAGUAGAUGAUACAUGUGAUUAACACAAAUAAAUUAUAAGGACUUAGUUAAAAAAGAUUCUUAAACUCGUGUAGCAUAAUAAUCUGCAAAAGUGAAAGUUGGUUAAGAAUGAUUGUUAUUUUUUAUCAAUAUAGAAAUAUUGUAGAUAUAUCAAAUAUGAUUUCAUUUAGGAACUUUAUUAAAUACUUCAUUGCAUACUACUUUUUGCCUAUUGUAUAUGAGUGCAACAAUGAUAAACCUCAUAGGAGGUUAUAAAUUCAUAUUAAAUAUUAUUAGAAAACAUAUUUUAAAUCAAAAUUAUAACUACUAUCGACCAAAAAUUUUAAAAUUAAACAAUUUUGACAAAUAAAUUCAAUUAAAUUAUUCUAUUAUUUUUUAUAACUAACAUGAUAUGCAUAGCAUAUUUAAUAUAUAUCUCAUAAUUUAAUUAACUUAGUUUUCAUUAUAUUUAAUUUAUUUAUCAUCAUAUAUGUAGUUAAAUAGAAAAAUUACUCUAUGAUAAUUUUAACUAUCAAUAAUUAUUUAAUAACAAAUAUUUCUUAAUUUUAAAUAUAUUUUAUCUAAAUUAAUUAUAUAUAAUUAAUUAAUUUUAAUUCUUAAUAUUUUUCAACUCAAGUUAUUUUUUAAAAUUAUAACUAUUAUUAUUUAAUAUAGAUAUUUUUGUGAAUAUUUAAUGUAGGUAGUUGAUUAGCUUUUGACAAGAUAAUUAUUUUUUCAGUUUUUAAUCUUAUUAUUUAAUAUAUUUAUUACAAAGAUAAUUUGUUAUUACUCAAUGCAUUAUAAUACAUGCAAUCUUUACUAAUGUAUUUAAUGUAAUGGUUCAAGUGUGUUUUACUUAUAUCAUACUUUGAUUUCAAAUGAAUUUAAUUCAAUUUAAGGUCAUUUAAUGUACAAAGAAAGGAAAACCCAAAAAGCCACACAAAUAACAAAAUAUUAUUGAAAAAUAAUAUUUGUGUAAAAUAAAAUGAAUUAUUUUUGAAAAAAAUUAUUAUUUUUUACCAAUACAUAUUUUUGAGAUUACUUAAUUCAGUUCUACAACUAAUAUAAAAAUUUAGAUUCAAGUGUUAAUAUUGAACAAAAUCUAUCAUGAAUUUUGUUGGUUUAAGCCUAAUUGUAAGGGAUGAUUAAAGUCAGAUCAUGUCUUCAACAUGCUCCCCAUUUGGCCUUACGCUGGAUUCUAUGCUACCCGAGAGCCUAUUCUUGAGAUGGGAUAUCCAUAUUUGUCAUCCAAUUGGGUUUACAUCUCUAGUUUAUGAAAUACAUAUUCUUUUGUUACAUGGCGGGUGGAAAUCGCGAGGGGCAUCACGCUCCCACUGUUAGUAAUUGUGAAGGAUUAUAGGACCUUAGUCAAGUUUUUGCCUGCCUGCAGUUUGAUUCAUGUGAAGUUGUUCGCUAAUGUUGUGAAAAACUAUAUAACAAAGUUAGUUUUGUAUAACUAUGUCCAUACAUGAGUUAAAGAGGGUCUCCUGGUUAAUUUCCUAAUGUCACAAACAAUCUAAUAUCACUUUAUGAUUAAGAAAGUUUUACUUUACCCUAAAAAAAUAGUUUUAAAAUCCAGUAAAAAGUAAAACCAACCCCGAAAAAUAUCAGCCAAACUUCAACAAGGACAAGAAAAAACAAAGACCAAAAAACAUACAAAACAAACCAAACCAGCUACAUCUUAUGGAGCAACUCCCAAAAAGAGCUAUAAAUAUACAUAGCAAAAACCAGCAAGCAAAUCAAACCCCUGCUCGACGUCUACGAAAUUUAACGUGGUCAGCAAGCGAUAAAACAUGAUUCUCUUCUGAAUCCAAAAGUUUUUUCUCAAUUAACAUUAACAUCUCUUUUUUUUUAGAAAAUAAUAAUAUAUGAAAUCCAUAAACAAAGUAUUAAGAAUCCAUUAAAAAUAUUUUUUCAUUGUAUAAAAAAUACUUUAAAUAUAUAUAUAUAUAUUUCUAUAUUUGUGCAAUUACAAAGUUCUUAAAAAAAUAUUUGGGCAAUUAUAAUUAUUUUUUAGAAAAUUCAGAAAAAAUUCAUAUACGAUAGUAAUGGCAAGAAGAUCAAAAAAAUGACAACACAGAAUUAUAUGACACUGUCAAUUUGUCUAAAGAAUCUCGAAUUAUUUAAAAAUUAAUAUCAAAGCCAUAUUUCAUAUAAUAGUAAUGGCAAGAAGAUCAAGGAAAUGACAACAUAACACAUAACUUUCACAAAUCACUCACAAAUCACUCAUCAAUCACUGCAAUAACAACAUGUUCCGGAUUUGACCAUCGAAUUAAGCAAUUACAAUAAUCACACACCUGCCCCGGCGUGACUGACCCCAAGAAACCAUGUCCUAUGAAACCGCUUGAAUCACAGGAGUUUUGACGAAAAUAACUGGGGGCUACCAUAAGAGGUCUUUUGUGUGUAAAUUUUAUCCAGGAAUUAAAAUUACAAAAAAUAAUAAUAAUAAUAAUAAUAAUAAUAAUGAUAAUAAUAAUAAUGAUACACAAAUUUAAUAAUAAAGUCACCCGUGCAAUGCACGAUGCACGGGUAUCAAUCAAUCAAUAUAUAUUAGAAAAGAACAAGUUCUAGCAUGACGUGUCGCUCCCAGAUUAAUUCUUACCUAAUAUUUUACAUGUAAGCUCUUUCUCCUUGACCCCACUUGCCACAUGUGCCCUGAUUUUUCCUUACCUUAUUUCUCCUUAAUAAAAAAAAAUACAUUUUAAAUUUUAGAUUUGAUUAGGAUUUAGGCUUUUUAUUUCUUGAUUUUAUCUUAAUUUAUUUUUGAUUUAUUUUUAGAGUAUUAAUUAAUUUUUAUGGUAUUUUUAUUGAAUUUUCAGAUUUUUAAUUAAUUCCGGAUUUUAUGAGUUUUUAUUGUGAUUUGCUAGAUUUUGAUAGUUUUUAUCUAUAUUUAUUUAGUACAUUUUUAAAUUUUAGAUUUGAUUAGGAUUUAUGUUGUUUAUUUCUGGAUUUUAUCUUAAUUUAUAUUAUUAUUUAUUUUUAGAGUAUUAAUUAAUUUUUAUGGUUUUUUUUUGAAUUUUUAAUUAAUUCCGGAUUUUAUGAGUUUUUAUUUUGAUUUGCUAGAUUUUGAUAGUUUUUAUCUAUAUUUAUUUAGUACAUUUUUAAAUUUUAGAUUUGAUUAGGAUUUAUGUUGUUUAUUUCAUGGUUUUAUCUUAAUUUAAAAUCUGUGAUAUAAAUCAAUAAUACAUCCCAUCAGCAAAAACCCUCUUAAAACUCUGCCUACCUCCACCAUCUCCUCCAUGCAAUUCUCAUCCCAUCUCUCCACUGAACGGAAACACCCCCACAAAAUCGUCUCAUCUCUCCACAGAACCACUUUGCCAUCUACUUGCAAUCGCAUCCCUCCGAUUUGCUGCCUUGGACUGAUUGGGAAGGUUGCAGAUGAAGGUUUCAAAUUAUUUUCUUCCUUUGCUUGCAUAAUAUGUUAUGGUUUUUUUCAAUUUUAUUUUACUUUACCUUUAACUUUCAUUCACUCAUGUUUGACUUCAAGGUCAAUUUCGUUCAUCACUUGCCAUGCUAAUUUCAAAUUCUUUUCUUCAGGUUUUUUUUUAUAGAUAUUCCACCAAAAGAGAUUAUUUGGAAGCCAUGGAUGGUGAGUCCAUUUUAUAUUCUAUAUGGAAUUUUGCAAUAUUUUGAUUUGUUUUUUAUGUUUUCUGAUUCUCCUUUGUAUGUGAUUCUAUUUUAUUCGUUUUUCUUAUUUUGCAUUUAAAAUUUGUGUCCUGUGUUAUAGGAGGUGAAACAUUGAUCUGUGUAUGUUUUGAUUAACCUAAUCAUUGUCAGUGAAGUGGAUUGAGGGAGUGAAAGAAUUGAGGGGAGAGAAAGAAGAAGUUGUAGAUUUUUUUCCUUGCAACUUUUUUAUUUGAUAAUUUUUUCUUUUUGCCUGCUUCUUGCACCGAGGAAAUUAAUUAUUAUUGUUGGUGCUUGUCGUUACAACUUCAGAACUACAUAUCAUGGAUGAGAUUUUACUGCUUAUCUUUGUUCGCUCAAGCUAUACUAUUGAGGUUAGACUUUUAAAACUGGUGCUAUCCUUUCUAAUAUGCUAAACGCCUAAACCAAUGUUCUAACAAUAAAUUGAUUUCCUUGGCUUCCCUGGAAACAUUUGACAUGAAUUUAUCCGUAGGUACAAAACGACAAUGAGGUGCAUACCUCUUUCUGACUACACUCUCUGAUUCUCAGCUAGUUGACAAUGAAACAUGAUUGAUGACUCAAGAUCUUAUCUUGCUCUCAUUUCAAGUAAGCCACGAAACAUGUGAGACCAGUACUCAUGGAGGUUUUUCUCAGUCCAUUAUAUGUAUAUAUUCACCAGAUAAGAGAUAGAGAUGUGUGUUUGGUGUUGCACUACUGUGAUGGAUAUGUAUAUAUUCACCAUAUAAGAGAUAGAGAUGUGUGUUUGGUGUUGCACUACUGUGAUGCAUAUAUAAUUUUACUGACUUAGUUCAUCAAUUCUACAUCUAUCUAUCAUCAUUACAUAUAUUAAAAGUCACUUUUCGAAGGCAAUAUUAGAUUUUAUAAUUAAUCAUUGUUCUUCUAUGGUUCAAUUAAUCAAACUUUAGUGUGAUUGGAAGCCUUGCUUGCAUGAGUGUGUAAUUAUCACAUUACGAUUUAGUAUCAUCAUAUGUUUUUGAUUUGGUUAUUGUACUUUCAACAACAGUGCUACAUAAAGCAAAGAGUUGUUUUAGUCGUUCAACAAAUAUUAUGGGUCUAAAAUUUCUAGAGGGGUUUUCUUCCAUUCAUCUUCUUUAGUAGCAUGUGAUUAGUUUCCCCUUACAAAUAGAUCUGAUUGGUUAUGGAAACCAUUGGAAGGCCAUAGCCAAAAAGUGGCUUCAAUUCAUUCUUUGGCUUUCAUAUCUGUCUGCAAAUUUGAUUGCUAUCUUUGCACUAUCAUAGCUAGAUUGAUGUUGCACAUAUUGUUAUUAUGUUUGGUGUUCUUUAGUCUAUCCUACUCUAACAUGUCUAUCAAUCUCACUUCAUGAGUUCUUGAUUUUCUGUUACUUAGAAUGCAGAUACGGCUGGAAGCUGCUGAUUUGGAAGCAAGUUUCAUUUGAAUUAGCAUGAGUUCAUAUUAAUUCAUGUUAAAGUUGGACAACAAUCAGGAAUAGCACCUAGGAUUGCUGCUGAUUUGGAAGCAAGUUUCAUUUGAUUUUUUAAUUAGAAAUAAAUAUUUUAAUGAUUUAAAUUCCAAAUGUAAUACCUUCUUACUUUAUGAAGUGCUUUUUUAUGCCAAAGAACAGACACUGGUUGCAGUGAAAACAAAAUUUGCAUAUGAUGUUAGGUACUGUGUGGAACUUGUGAGUGUGUUUGUGGACAAUUUAUAAGAAAAGCGGUGGUGAUAGUGAGGUAGAGAAAUUUGAGAGAGAUUUUGAUGUAAAUGGAGAUUUUUCUUUCUUAUGAGAUUGGACUUUUAAUCCUUAUCCACACCAUUUGAAAUUUUGAUUAUUAAUACUAUUAUUUUCGACACUUAUGUCACUGACAAAUAAUAAUUAGGUUCUGAUGUAAUGUAUAUUCUUUGUAAUGGAGAAUUAAGUAGUUGUUUUUAAGAGUCUUUUAUAUAUAAUUCAGAUGCAAACAGUAUGCACUCAGCUAUCACUUGAGCACUAGAGCAAGUAAAGGGAGCAUACUACGACUGCUUUACUAUUCUGAAUUUUUUUAUCGCAGAAAUGCUCCGGUAAGUACAACAAGCUCAAAAGCAGAAUAGCAUGAUGAAACUACUAGAUAUUAUUAAUGAACCAAACCUUUCAGUUCCAAACUGUCAAGACCUUCGCUAGAAAUUUGUUCUAAAGUACGCCCAUUAGAACUACUAUAAGAGCAAAGCAACAUGCUUCUUAUAUUGGGAUAUAGACAAAAGCAGAGGUUGCCUUAGUGAGCUUUCUCACCUGGAUCAACAAAAAAACCACUGAAACUCGAUCGAUGAAAGUUGGAAUGGCAAGGUUUACUCUUAAAGUCUUCGGCAGGAGGAGGAUACAAGAGAUCGACCUUGAAGCAAGUAAGGUAUGGUGGGUGUCAUCAUCUUCAUCGAUAUUACCCACCAGAUAGACUUGAGAAAAGACUUUCAGGCAUCCUGAGAGUAAGGAGAAGCUGGAUCUAAAUGUAUUAGAAAGAGCCUAAAAGCUUUUAUAUAUAGGAAGAAUAUUUUACAUGAAAAUACUUCUACAUAAAAAUAAAUGUUAAUAAGAUUUCAUCGGAAUUUUUUUUUGUUACAAGAAAAACAUAAUAUAAUAUAGUUUGAUGUUAAUUUUUUACUACAUAAUAAUAUAGUCCACUUUAAUUUUUUUGUACAAAUUAUUAUAAGAGUUAAAUUCUCCUACGGGAAGAAAUAUAUUUUAACAAGAAAGUACCUUCAUUAAGUAUUAAUUAAUGUAUCAAAUACAAUAACAAAUUUCGCGGUACAUUCUUUUUUUUCUAAGAUUAAAAUGUGUUCUGAAUGCUUUAUUGGUGAUUCUUCAUAUCUAUAAUUUGUGUUAUUGUCUUUAGGCUCAUGAAGAAUGUGAAACGACUUCAUGUUGAUAUGGGUCAAACUUAGUUUAUUUUAUUGUGUAAAAAAUGAACUUGCAUAAUCACGUACAUAAAGAAUCUUUUUUCUUUUUUUCAUUGUAGAUUAAAUCAGCUAUUGUUUAUUAGCCAUCAUUAAACCACAUCCCCUAAUAUGUUUUGCAUAAUUUGAGAUUUGGUUAACCAAUUUUUUUAUUAGUUAUUCAAUUGUACGAAGUUCAUUCUAUGCAACAAGGGUUUUAAUUUACUUUUUGUCCACUUUGCUCAUCAUUUCAUACUCUUCUAUUUCAUCUGUUGUUUAUUAUAUUUUUAAUGAUCAAGGUAUUAAUUGACCUAUCAAACAUAAUAGAUGUAUUCCCCGUGCAACGCGCGGGUAAAAAACACUAGUUCAACUAGUUUGAACUAAAAGCUAGAACGAAAUUUCUUUAUAGCGAUAAAAUUCAAUUCCCUCAUAAUUUAUAAUUUCCCUCAUAAUUUAUAAAAUUAUAUUUAAUGCAAUAAAAGGAAAUAAGUAAUUGCACCUCGAAAAGAAAGGCGUAGCACGUGCAUAACCCAAAACACUGAUUUUUUCUUGGAUGUAUUGGAACACUAAUUUGUUCAUUAUAUAUGGUCAUGCUGAAUUGAGAUUGUUGCUAACUGUAUUUUGUUUUUUCAUCGUGUUCAUGGUGGACAGAAAGAACCUAUUUUCCCACUUUUAUUUUUCAUUUGUGUGGAAAAUUAGAAAGGUGAUAUAAAGGCCCACAUGUUGUCCAAUAGGAUUACAAGACAUGAGGCAUUUCAUAAGUAAACAAUGAAUAGCAUUGACAACCAGGCAAGUAGUUUAUCUCAUUGCUCCCCACCAAAUCCCCAAAGGGGCUGCCAUGUUGUAUCUUGUAUGUAUUGAUCUUGAGCCUCAAUCAUGAGUAGGGGCCAUAGUCGCCUGAAGCCAUAAAUUUCCCCCAAAAAAACCUCCAUAAUUUCCCCAACCUCUGUCGGUGUUCCUGCGGGUAAACUUUUGGUAAAUGUUAAUGUUAAUUGUUAGUAAUGUUAGUAAAUUAACCUCUUCUCAGGGUUCGAAUUUUGGACCAUUCGCCUUUCAUCUCACUCAACCCUUAUGUUAGCAAACUUUUCUCUCUGCAUUACUAGUAUAUUUGUCGGCUUCUCGGAGUGAAUCUCCAUGUUCACUCGAGCUGCCUCAUCCUAACUUGGAAGAAAAUUGCACUAAGCUGAAUUGAGCUAACUCACAGACGAACCUUUAAAAUGAUCAUCUCGUUCAACUCACCAGAAGUUAGAAAGUUAGUGAUAUGAGUCACAUUCAUUUUGAAAAAUAAAAAUUAAAAAAUGUAAUAACUAUUAGAAUAUUUUUUUCGGUUACACCGGAAAAUAUAAUAACUAUUAGAAAUUGGAAAAAUGUGAGAGAAAAAAGAUUAAAUUUUCAAUGUAUAUUAGAACCAAAUAUGUAAAAAAAAUGGUGGCUUUAAGGUGAAAAUCCUGAUGGGUCUUUCAUCGUUGAAUGAUCAAAAUGACCUAAUAUAAAAGUCAUAGAAAAAAAAAAACACCAAAAAUCUCAAUUACCAUAAAUACCUCCACUCCCCUAACCUGAUUCUUAAGAUGAUUAUAGUAAUUCUUCACAUAAAUAAUUGAUUCUUAAGAUAAUUUAAAUAAUCCUUAAGGUGAAUAAUUAAUUUUUAAGAUGAUUAAAGUGAUCUCUAACGAUAUUGAUUCUUAACAUGAUUAAAGAGACAUUUAAUGUCACCAAUUGAUUCAUAAGAUGAUUAAAGUGAUCUUUCUAACGUAAAUAAUUGAUCAUUAAGAUGAUAUAAGUUAUCUCUAAUAUAAAUAAUUGAUUUUUAAGACGAUUUAAGUGAUCCUCAGGAUAAUAAUUGAUUCUUAAGAUAUUAAAGUAUUUCUUAAGGUGACUAAUUGAUUCUUAAAAUGACUAAAGUGAUCCUUAAUAUAAAUAAUAAAUUCUUAAGAUGAAUCCUUAAUAUUUCCCUAAAAAAAAGUGAUCCUUAAUAUAAACAAGGCUUAAUUGCAACUUUGGUCCCCGACGUUUACCAAUGCCACGAUUUUGGUCCCCCACCUAAUUUAAUUACAUGGAUGGUCCCCGACGUUGCAGGCCGUGUGCAACGUUAGUCCUACCGUUUAUUUCUUAAUGGAGGAGGUUUACGUGGACGUCCAGUUAGAGAGAGAAAGGAGGUAUGAGGAGAGAGGGAAGCACGAGAGUAUCACGUGACCCUUAUCUGAACCCAUUGUACCCAAACCCCUGACCUCCCUAGAACGAAGAAGGUAACACGAUUUAGAUCCCUAGGGUUUCAGAUUUGGGUAUAAUGAGUUCAUAUAAGGUUCACGUGAGUUCACGUGAUACUCACGUGCUUCCCUCUCUCCUCAGAUCUCCUUUUUCUCUCCAACUAGACGUCCACGUAAGCCUCCUCCAUUAAGAAAUAAACGGUAGGACUAACGUUGUACACGACCUACAACGUCGGGGACCAUCCAUGUAUUUAAAUUAGGUGGGGGACCAAAAUCGUGACAUUGGUAAACGUCGGGGACCAAAGUUGUAAUUAAGCCUAUAAACAAUUGAUUUUGAAGAUGAUUUAAGUAUAUUUAAGGAGAUUAUAUUUCAGAGGGACCUGUUGUAUCCCGUUUCUGUAAGAUCAUGUUUUGAUCUAGUAGUACAACUCUAUGUUUUGAUGAUUACAAGUUAACUAUUAAGUAUGAACAAUUAUGGUACUCUAACGUUGUUUUCUGAGUGGUCAAAUGACAGGCCAAGACUCUGGACCUAUCCCACAUGAUUCAGAAGCACAAUGCUCAAAGAGUAACCUCUGCAACGCUUUCACACGUACUAUGUUCAUCUGAACAGUAGAUCAAGCUUCAGAAGAUCUGAAGAUCAUAAAGCUCUGAUAUGGAUUCAUCUCACUAGAAGCUAUGAAGGAUCAGAAGCUCUAAAGGAUCAGACGCUCUGAAGGAUCAGACGCUCUGAAGGAUCAGAUGCUCUGAAGGAUCAGACGCUCUGAAGGAUCAGAAGCUCUGAAACAUCAGAAGCUAAGUAGUGAAGACUCUGAAGUCCAAGAGUAAGCUGGCUCUGAAGACCAAGUACUUCUCCUCUGAGUCCAGAAGCAGAAGGUACAAAGGUCAGAGGAUCCAAGCUUCCCUCUGACUCUGAUCAUCAAGCUUCACAAGCUCCAAGAUGAAGCAUUACUCUGAUCAGAAGUCAACAAGGAUAAAGGUCAUGUCGCUAUCCAAAGUACAAAAGCAAUUGUACCAUUCCUGACGACCUUACCUAACUGAUUCAGCCACAGUAGAACCUGGAAAUUCUAGAUCUGCCCUCUAAUGGUAGCAUCUCCAUGCAACGUUCAAACCCUAAUCCUUGGAGUAUAUAAAGAGGCUGAAGAUUGAAAGAUGCCGCCUAAGAAACUUGUUCACGCGCAAGAAAUAUUUCAAAUCUUCUUAGCAAUCUUUCUUCAAAUAGAACUAAGUGUGUUUACUAUUAGCUUUCUAAGAAGCAUUUAUUUGUAAACCCAAAACCUUCAAACAGUUGUUUGUUUUACCUUUAGGAGAUCAAGGUUGAUCGGAUCCUAGAGAAGACUAAGAGAGUGAAUCUUAGUGAAAGCUAAGUCAGUGUAUUGUUAGUCACUUUGCAGGUAGCAAGUGCAGUUGUAACAAAACUCUUAUUAGUGGAUUGCCUUCAUUCUAAGAAGGAAGAAAUCACCUUAACGGGUGGACUGGAUUAGCUUGAGAGAUUUAUCAAGUGAACCAGGAUAAAAUCAUUUGUGUGCUUUCCUUAUCUCUUAUCUCUGCACUUUUAUCAUUGGUGUUUGAUGAGAUUUAUUUAAAUCUCAAGUGGGUUGAGUUUUUAGUUGUAAAACGCUAUUCAAACUCCCCUUUCUAUCGUUUUUCAUACCUUCAAUUGGUAUCAGAGCGCAAGUUUUGAUUACCACACCUAACAGUGUUCAGUGAUCCGGGCCGGUGUGAAAAACUAAAAUGGCUGCCACCAUUGAAACGCAAAAAGAUGUCUACAGUGCAAAGCCUCCUAUGUUUGAUGGGCAAAGAUUUGAAUACUGGAAAGACAGGAUUGAAAGCUUCUUUCUGGGUUUUGAUGCAGAUCUCUGGGAUAUUAUAGUGGAUGGCUACGAGCGUCCAGUUGAUGUUGAUGGCAAGAAGAUCUCAAGAUCAGAGAUGUCUGCAGAACAAAAGAAGCUUUACUCACUGCAUCAUAAAGCUAGAACUAUUCUUCUAAGUGCUAUUUCUUAUGAAGAAUAUCAAAAGAUCACAGAUCGUGAGUAUGCUAAGGGUAUCUUUGAUUCAUUGAAGAUGACCCAUGAAGGAAACAAGAAGGUGAAGGAGUCAAAGGCGUUGGCUUUGAUUAGAAAGUAUGAGUCCUUCCAGAUGAAAUCCAGUGAGUCCAUUAAGGACAUGUUCUCCAGAUUUCAGCUACUCAUUGCUGGAAUUAGUCCUCUCAACAAGAGCUACACAACUGCUGAUCAUGUCAUGAGAAUUCUGAGAGGCCUUCCUGAAAGCUGGAUGCCUCUGAUAACUUCCUUGGAGCUUACAAGAGAUGUUGAUCAGAUGAGUCUGGAAGAACUCAUAAGCAUACUGAAGUGUCAUGAACUGAAGCGUUCUGAACAUCAAGAUCAGAAGAAGAAGUCUAUAGCCUUGAAAUCCAAAUCUGAAAAGGCUAAAGCUCUCCAAGCAGAAGAAGAAGAAUCUGAAGAAGCAUCUGAAGAUUCUGAUGAGGAUGAGCUGACUCUGAUCUCCAGAAGGCUUAACCGCAUCUGGAAGCACAGGCAGAGCAAGUACAAAGGCUCUGGAAAGUAUAAAGGAAAGAAUGAAUCUUCUUCUGGUCAGAAGAAGUUUUCAUCAAAGGAAGUCACAUGCUUUGAAUGCAAAGAAUCAGGACACUACAAUAGUGAUUGUCCUAAGCUGAAAAAGGACAAGAAGCCAAAGAAGCAUUUCAAAACUAAGAAAGGCCUCAUGGUGACUUUUGAUGAAUCAGAGUCAGAGGAUGUUGACUCUGAUGGAGAAGUUGUUGAAGGACUCAUGGCUAUUGUCAAGAACAAAGAAGCAGAGUCAAAAGAAGCAACUAAUUCUGAAUCAGCAUCAGAGGAAGAACCAGACUCUGACGAUGAAAAUGAGGUAUUCGCUUCCUUCUCAACCUCUGAACUUAGAUGUGCUUUGUCUGAUAUCAUGGAUAAAUAUAACUCUCUCUUGACUAAGUGUAAGACCCAAGUUUUUAGCUUAUAAUAAAUUAGUGAAAUUUCUUAUUCACGAACAAUUCCGAUGUAACGUGAAGUAAGGAAACUGGAUAAACGUUUAUUAAAUGGAAUAAAUGUAUGGAGAGGAUAUUUCACGAGAAGGUUAAGGACAAGAUUCGAAUCGACGGAACUUAUGACGCAAGUAUUAUUCGGUUACGCCUAGGACAAAAACCUUAGGAAAAGAUUAAUUUAACCCUUGGAACACUAUAGGAAUAAAUUCCAAAAAUCUUCAAGAGGAAUAUAAGAAUUUCUCUUAUUCCUUUCCAUAACAAGUGUUUCGAUACGAAACCCUGGAAUGUACGAAGGUCAAAUUCCAAUACUCGGAAAGUUUGCCGAAACUAAAUCACUGAUAGUUCAAGAAACCUAAAAUCAAUGGACGAUGAAGAUUUUUUCUAUUCGGAGCUUCAAAUGAAGAUUCCACACGCGUGCACCUAUUUCUCUUGAUGUUUUUAAUCUUUCUUCAGAACGAAGUUUUCUCAUCCGACAUCAACUGCAAAAAGUAGUUUUCAGGUAAAAUCGAUUUACACCAACUUUGGAUCGUUUGAUUUAAUUCCAAGAAACCUCUUUUGAGUUUUGGAAUUCUGUCGCCAGAACCUAUCUUAGAAUUCACAGAGGAAUGCACAGGAAAAAUCGAAAUCACAAAAUUUUCAUUUUUUCGCAUUUUCCAAAACCUAUAAAUAGCUUGAAAAAUGAAAAAAAUAACAAAAAAUCACAAAACACACACACAAACCCGCGAGCAAGGAGGAGUAGAGGAGGAGAAGUGAUUUUCGCCUUUUCUUGCCUGAUCGUUCCACAGUUCGUUGCUACGCGUAGGCCUCGAGGUACUGAUGCUUUUCCUUACCUCUGAUCGUAAAUUCUGUCCCUUUUCUCUAUGUCUUUCUGUGCUCAAAGUUUUGAGCUUUUUGUAAAACUGUCCAAAUAACUUGAUUUUAGUGUCUAAACUUAUUCCCUGCGUGCCUCUGAGCAUGUUUAGCGGAUUACAUUUCGCCGAUUCUCGUUGAAUCGCCGCCGAACUUCUAUUCUGCUCAAAAUACCCAUUUCUGACAAAGGUUCCGCUUUUUGAAUCAAAAACUCCCGACUGAGCUUAGCGUUAGUAGGAUUAGUCGUCAUAAUCGUCGUUGGUGUCGACCCCAUCUAAUUUGUUUUUCGAAAUUCUGAUUUUGAGUUUCCGAGUUAAAAAUAUUGACCAAAAUACCCCUGCGACAGUUUUCGAUCCGAUAAUUUUUCUGAGAGUUUCCCUGGCCUAGAUAUCGCCUAAGAAUACCUAGGAAUUGAUUUAGAUCGAAGAAAAAGUUCGAAAACCCUAUUUUCCAUAGUGGCCGAAACCUAUUUGUUAGAGUACCGUGUCCAAAAAUAGUUUUUGAGUCUCUAUGACCUGAGUUAUAGCGUAGCUCUUUUAAUUGUCGAAAUUUUGGCUCCGGUUUCGUGUCAUUCCGAGUUCUGUAGCUCGAGUUAUGCUCGUUUUAGCGAACGAAGUCUCUGUUGUCAAUUCGUGCUUAAAUAGGAACUCUGAAGCUUUAAAAGCUUUCUUUCCGGUUUCGAUCAGUGUUAUUAGAUAGUGUUGUUCUAGUGAGGCUUGUGUUGAUGAUUGUGUUUCCUUGUUUUAGGUUCGCAACUUCCAUGCACAACUUCUACUCACGAAGGUAAGGGUAACUCAGUUUUAGUGUGUCUUUGAGUCUUGCCUGCUUUUAUCGCACUGCCUGCGUUUGAGAUGAAGAUGUUGAUAUUGAUUGGCAUUGGAUUAUGAGUAUUAUGCUUGCAAUGUUGUAUGCUUGCUUAUGUUGACUGUUUCUGGGGCUUGUGCCAAAUGUUUUUUUUGAAGGCUUCGGCCGAGUGAACUUAUUGAGACGUGUGUCUCCGUUUUCUGAGAGGCUUCGGCCGUUUACUGGUUUCUGUCAUUGAACUGAGUUGGUAUGCAAUUGAAUUGAGUUAUGUUCGUUGAUAAUAGGAAUAACAUGUGGUUACUCCGAAUAAAUCAUUGGUUUGGGCAUUGUUGUUGAUUGACUUGGCAUAUAGGGCUUGGUCUUUAAGUGGCGAUGAGGUGGGGUGUGGUCCCGCGUGAUUGUCCCGUCUUUCGAGAUGUUAUAAAGUGGCGAUGAGGUGGGGUAUGGUCCCGCGUGAUUGUCCCGUCUUUCGAGACGUUAUACAGAGGCGAUGAGGUGGGGUGUGGUCCCGCGUGAUUGUCCCAUCUUGCGAGAUGUUCUAAAGUGGCGAUGAGGUGGGGUGUGGUCCCGCGUGAUUGUCCCGUCUUGCGAGACGUUAUUGAUCGAUCCAUUUUGGUAGAAGCAUAUAGUUGCAUUAUAGGGAACUAACACCUGACCCUACGUUGUUGGAGUUUAGUUAUUGGUUUAUUGAUAUCUGAUUUGAUGCUAUAUUGUUGAGGUUAUUAUUAUCUGAGUUAACCUAUGUUAACAUGUUGAUUAUGAGUUGAGUUAUGUUGCUAGGUUAUUUACCAUGCUAGGUAAUUAAAUUCGAAUGACAUGAUUUUCUCUUUUAUACAUGGUAGUUACAUGGAGUUAACCCUUUCUAUUUGUUAUUUGUUGUUUGGGCGCUUAACGCUAUUAGGCGAUGGAGAGCCUUCCGCUGAAGCUUAGCUGUUCGAGUUAGAGAUCGUGACCGUGGGCGGUCGAGUAGAGGUAGAUGAAGUAGUUGCUUCUCCAUUUUUGGUGGACUAUGUUUGAGUUUCUUUCUCCAUAUGAAAACUCUGUUGUUUAAACCUUAUUUCGCAACUGUUUAAGUGUGCGUACUUAUUUUGGAAACUUGUUCAUGAUGAUGUAAGACAUUAUUAUUAUUAUGUCGGGAACGAGAUGUUUAAUUAAGAUUAUGAUAUGUAUAAACUGUGUUUAGUUGUUUUGAAAAGAAAAAAAAUAUCGAGUUUUCUUAGGAUUAUGAAAUAGUCCUUAGACUUUGUUAGGUUACUAAUGUGACCCCUCAGUUGAGAAACCGGGGUGUUACACUAAGCAUAAAAGGUUGAAAAAGGAACUUACUGCUGUUUCUAAAACUUCUACUGAACAUGAGAAAAUUAUUUCUGAAUUGAAAGAAAAUAAUCAUGCUUUAGUUAACUCUAACUCUAUGCUUAAAAACCAAAUUAUCAAGUUAGAAGAAGUUGUUGCAUGUGAUGCCUCUGAUAUAAAGAAUGAAUCUAAAUAUGAAAAAUCCUUUCAAAGAUUCCUAGCUAAAAGCGUAGAUACAAGCUUGAUGGCUUCAAUGAUCUAUGGCGUUACCAGAAAUGGGAUGAGUGACAUUGGCUAUUCUGGACCAAGUAGAAAUGAGCCUCCUAUGCCUAAGGCCAAACCUCUGCAUGAACAUUUUGUACCCUAUGGUACCAUUCUACCUGAAUCAUUGCCUGCUAAAAUUGCUAACCCUUCUCGUAAAAAGGGAACUCCUUCUGUGCUUAAAUAUCAUGCUCAAAUCCCUUUAAAUUAUCAUGUUGAGAAACCCAAGGCCAUCAGAACCUCUGGGUAACUAACAAGAAAGGACCCAGAAAAUGGGUACCUAAGGAUAAGAUUAUCUAUGUUGCAGAUAUCCUUGAUCGCUCCACUGAAACACCAAUCAUGGUAUCUGGACAGUGGAUGCUCGCGUCACAUGACGGGAGAAAGACGUAUGUUCCAAGAGCUAAAACUUAAGCCUGGAGGCGAAGUUGGCUUUGGAGGAAAUGAGAAGGGUAAAAUAGUUGGUUCUGGUACCAUUGGUGUAGAUAAUAGUCCAUGCAUUGAUAAUGUUCUGUUAGUAGAUGGAUUAAAUCAUAACUUAUUGUCUAUAAGUCAAUUAGCUGACAAGGGUUAUGAUAUUAUCUUCAAUCAAAAGUCUUGCAGGGCUGUAAGUCAGAUCGAUGACUCUGUUCUGUUUAACAGCAUGAGAAGGAACAACACUUAUAAGAUCAGAUUAUCUGAGUUGGAAACUCAGAAAGUAAAGUGCCUUCUUUCUGUUAAUGAGGAGCAAUGGGUAUGGCAUAGACGGUUAGGGCAUGCCAGUAUGAGAAAGAUUUCUCAGCUGAGUAAGCUUGACCUUGUCAGGGGCUUACCCACUCUGAAGUUCUCUUCAGAUGCUCUUUGUGAAGCAUGCCAGAAAGGCAAAUUUACAAAAGUCCCUUUCAAGGCAAAGAAUGUUGUUUCCACCUCAAGGCCGUUAGAACUUCUGCAUAUCGACCUUUUUGUACCAGUGAAAACUGAGUCUAUAGGUGGCAAGAGAUAUGGGAUGGUCAUUGUUGACGACUAUAGCAACUGGACAUGGGUAAAAUUUCUAUCCCUCAAGGAUGAGUCUCAUUCUGUGUUCUCUACCUUUAUUGCCUAAGUGCAAAACGAGAAGGCUUGCAAGAUUAUGCGUGUCAGAAGUGAUCAUGGUGGAGAGUUUGAGAAUGACAAGUUUGAGAGUCUGUUUGACUCCUAUGGAAUUGUACAUGAUUUCUCUUGUCCUAGAACUCCUCAACAGAAUGGUGUUGUUGAGAGGAAGAAUAGAACUCUUCAAGAGAUGGCUAGAACCAUGCUUCAAGAAACUGACAUGGCAAAGCACUUCUGGGCUGAGGCAGUAAACACAACAUGUUACAUUCAGAACAGGAUCUCUAUCAGACCAAUUCUGAAUAAGACUCCUUAUGAAUUGUGGAAGAAAGUAAAACCCAACAUUUCUUACUUUCAUCCUUUUGGUUGUGUUUGCUAUGCUCUGAAUACUAAGGAUAGAUUACAUAAGUUUGAUUACUUGGUUACUCUGAACGGUCUAAAGGUUUUAGAAUUUACAAUACUGAUGCUAAAACUAUUGAAGAAUUUAUUCAUGUUAGAUUUGAUGAUAAGCUUGACUCUGAUCAGUCAAAGCUAGUUGAAAAGUUUGCAGAUAUGAGUAUUAAUGUUUCUGACAAAGGAAAAGCUCCAGAGGAAGCUGAACCAGAGGAUGACUCUCUAGAGGAAGUUGGUCCCUCUGAUUCACAGCCUCAAAAGAAGAGCAGAAUUGUUGCCUCUCACCAUAAGAAGUUGAUUCUGGGAAACAAAGAUGAACCAGUCAAAACCAUAUCAGCAUUCAGACCCUCUGAAGAGACUCUACUUAGUCUGAAGGGAUUGAUAUCCUUAAUUGAACCAAAAUCAAUUGAUGAAGCUCUUCAAGACAAAGACUGGAUUUUGGCAAUGGAAGAAGAACUGAAUCAAUUCUCCAAGAAUGAUGUUUGGAAUCUUGUCAAGAAACCUUAAGGCGCUCACAUCAUUGGAACCAAAUGGGUAUUCAGAAACAAGCUGAAUGAAAAAGGAGAUGUAGUCAGAAACAAAGCAAGGCUAGUUGCUCAAGGCUACAGUCAGCAAGAAGGAAUAGAUUAUACUGAAACAUUUGCUCCAGUAGCAAGAUUGGAAGCAAUCAGACUGCUGAUCUCCUUCUCAGUGAAUCACAACAUAAUUCUUGACCAGAUGGAUGUUAAGAGUGCUUUUCUGAAUGGAUACAUCUUAGAGGAAGUAUAUGUGCACCAACCUCCUGGUUUUGAAGAUGAGAACAACCCUGACCAUGUUUUCAAAUUGAAGAAGUCACUCUAUGGUCUGAAGCAAGCUCCCAGAGCAUGGUAUGAGAGACUCAGCUCAUUUCUUCUGGAAAAUGAGUUUGUAAGGGGUAAAGUAGAUACAACUCUCUUUUGCAAAACUUACAAAGAUGAUAUCUUAAUUGUGCAAAUUUAUGUUGAUGAUAUUAUAUUUGGAUCUGCUAAUCCAUCUCUUUGCAAAGAAUUUUCUGAGAUGAUGCAAGCUGAAUUUGAAAUGAGUAUGAUGGGAGAACUCAAGUACUUUCUGGGAAUACAAGUUGAUCAAAAACCAGAAGCUACUUACAUUCAUCAGAGCAAGUACACCAAGGAACUUCUGAAGAAGUUCAAUAUGACAGAAUCAAUAAUUGCUAAGACCCCUAUGCAUCCUACAUGCAUUCUGGAGAAAGAAGAUGUCAGUGGAAAAGUAUGUCAGAAGCUCUAUCGUGGAAUGAUAGGUUCACUUCUAUACUUAACUACAUCUAGGCCAGAUAUUCUGUUUAGUGUACACUUAUGUGCUCGUUUCCAAUCAGAUCUUAGAGAAACUCACUUAACUGCUGUUAAGAGAAUUCUCAGAUAUCUGAAAGGUACCACUAACCUUGGCUUGAUGUAUAAGAAAACAUCAGAGUAUAAGCUUUCAAGUUAUUAUGAUGCUGAUUAUGCUGGAGAUAGAACUGAAAGAAAUAGUACUUAUGGAAACUGUCAAUUUAUGGGAAGUAACUUAAUCUCAUGGGCAAGCAAGAGGCAAUCUACUAUUGCACUAUCCACUGCAGAGGCAGAAUAUAUCUCAGCAGCUAUUUGCAGCACUCAGAUGCUCUGGAUGAAACAUCAGCUAGAGGAUUAUCAAAUCCUUGAGAGCAACAUUCCAAUUUACUGUGAUAACACGGCUGCAAUUUCACUCAGUAAGAAUCCAAUCUUACACUCAAGGGCUAAACACAUUGAGGUAAAGUAUCAUUUCAUUAGAGAUUAUGUUCAGAAGGGCGUACUUCUUCUGAAGUUUAUUGAUACUGACCAUCAAUGGGCAGAUAUCUUCACAAAGCCCUUAGCAGAGGAUAGAUUUAAAUUUAUAAUGAAAAAUCUGAAUAUGGACUUUUGUCCAGUAUGAAGAUGGAUCAGAACCUCUGACUAUGAUACUUCUUUAUCAGAAGAUGUCUAGUUCAGAAGGUAACUUAGUCAGAAGAUAAGUACUCAUUGGUACUUACUCUGAGAUGAGGCAGUAAGCGUGUGUCAGUUACCAUGAUACAUCGUUCCUUGUGCCUGUGCUGACAAUCUGUUGUAAUGAGGGUUGAUAUACUUUAUCUCCACCGUGUGAUGUGUGUAUUAACUGUUCAUAAUGAUGUUCUUAAUUUUCAACCGUUGAUUUUACUUUUGCUUUU
RNAcentral lists this long non-coding RNA (41875 nucleotides) under Lotus japonicus. Its description in RNAcentral is "long non-coding RNA (LJAP_LNC001776)". The record is from RNAcentral. Lineage: Eukaryota; Viridiplantae; Streptophyta; Magnoliopsida; Fabales; Fabaceae.